RNAcentral lists this ribosomal RNA (483 nucleotides) under uncultured bacterium. RNAcentral describes it as "partial 16S ribosomal RNA". It matches the Rfam family "Bacterial small subunit ribosomal RNA", at positions 30 to 507 of the family's 1533-position model. The record is from RNAcentral.
UUGAACGCUGGCGGCAGGCCUAACACAUGCAAGUCGAGCGGGUGAAGGGAGCUUGCUCCUGGAUUCAGCGGCGGACGGGUGAGUAAUGCCUAGGAAUCUGCCUGGUAGUGGGGGAUAACGUCCGGAAACGGGCGCUAAUACCGCCUACGUCCUGAGGGAGAAAGUGGGGGAUCUUCGGACCUCACGCUAUCAGAUGAGCCUAGGUCGGAUUAGCUAGUUGGUGGGGUAAAGGCCUACCAAGGCGACGAUCCGUAACUGGUCUGAGAGGAUGAUCAGUCACACUGGAACUGAGACACGGUCCAGACUCCUACGGGAGGCAGCAGUGGGGAAUAUUGGACAAUGGGCGAAAGCCUGAUCCAGCCAUGCCGCGUGUGUGAAGAAGGUCUUCGGAUUGUAAAGCACUUUAAGUUGGGAGGAAGGGCAGUAAGUUAAUACCUUGCUGUUUUGACGUUACCAACAGAAUAAGCACCGGCUAACUUCGUG